GUGUUAAGUGGAAAAGGAUGUGGGAUUUCGAAGACAACUAGGAUGUUGGCUCAGAAGCAGCCAUACAUUCAAAGAGUGCGUAAUAGCUCACUAGUCGAGAGGUCCUGCGCCGAAAAUGUCCGGGGCUGAAACACGACACCGAAGCUUAGGAACAAAGAAACCAAGGUUUCUAUAUGUUGGUAGAGGAGCAUUGUUAGCGGAACGAAGCCAUACCGGAAGGAGUGGUGGACUGCUAAGAAGAGAGAAUGCCGGAAUGAGUAGCGAGAUUGAAGUGAGAAUCUUCAAGGCCGAAUAUCUAAGGUUUCCAGGGUAAAGCUGAUCUGCCCUGGGUAAGUCGGGGCCUAAGGCGAGGUCGAAAGACGUAGCCGAUGGACAACAGGUUGAAAUUCCUGUACUGCGAUAUAUCAGAAAUGUGGGGACACAGAAGGAAAGUGUGAGCCGGGAAAGGAAAGACCGGUGCAAGCACAGGAGGAGAGAUACAGGCAAAUCCGUAUUUCAAUCCAAUGGUGUUACGCGGAGCGAACAAAAGUAGCGAAGCACACAGACCAUCUGUCGAGAAAAGCCGCUAUUGUGUAUAUUGUACCCGUACCGUAAACCGACACAGGUGGAUGAGGAGAGAAUCCUAAGGCCGGCGGGAGAAGCAUUGUUAAGGAACUCGGCAAAAUGACCCCGUAACUUCGGGAGAAGGGGUGCUCUUGAAAAAGAGCCGCAGAGAAUUGGCCCAAGCAACUGUUUAGCAAAAACACAGGUCUAUGCAAAACCGAAAGGUGAGGUAUAUGGGCUGACGCCUGCCCGGUGCUGGAAGGUUAAGAGGAGAGGUUAGCGCAAGCGAAGCUUUGAAUUUAAGCCCCAGUAAACGGCGGCCGUAACUAUAACGGUCCUAAGGUAGCGAAAUUCCUUGUCGGGUAAGUUCCGACCCGCACGAAAGGCGUAAUGAUUUGGGCACUGUCUCGACAAUGCACCCGGUGAAAUUGAAAUACCAGUGAAGAUGCUGGUUACCUGCGCCAGGACGGAAAGACCCCAUGGAGCUUUACUCUAGCUUGAUACUGGGAUUCGGUACUGCAUGUACAGGAUAGGUGGGAGACGAAGAGGACAGGACGCCAGUCUUGUCGGAGUCGCUGUUGGGAUACCACCCUUGUGGUACUGGAUUUCUAACCAACCUCCGUGACCCGGAGGUGGGACAAUGUCAGGUGGGGAGUUUGACUGGGGCGGUCGCCUCCGAAAGGGUAUCGGAGGCGCUCAAAGGU
RNAcentral lists this ribosomal RNA (1247 nucleotides) under human gut metagenome. Its description in RNAcentral is "bacterial LSU rRNA". It matches the Rfam family "Bacterial large subunit ribosomal RNA", at positions 1056 to 2317 of the family's 2925-position model. The record is from RNAcentral.